This 1620-nucleotide long non-coding RNA is filed under the name Sus scrofa (pig). RNAcentral describes it as "lncRNA (ENSSSCG00065006754.1)". The record is from RNAcentral. Lineage: Eukaryota; Metazoa; Chordata; Mammalia; Artiodactyla; Suidae.
UUUACCAAAGGACUGAGGCUACUUUGCCUCGCUUCAUUCAACUGCUGGGAAAGAAGAAAGAAGGGGGUGAUGAGAAAGCUGCUGUGGCCGACGUUCGCAGCAGCAGGUGAUAAGAAUCCACGACUUGCAGAAGCCGAGUUUGUUUUAAAGCAGACUAGUGAGUGGUGGGUGCCUGUGUGUACCUGCUUCUGCUUUGUGGCUUUGCUCUUGUGACCAGAAGUGGGUGCACUAGGAAGCGUCUAGGCUGACUCAGAGUCCCAGACGUGCAGUGGAGCCUUGCCGGGGGAAAUGUCAGCUUGGACCAUGGGUGCCCGCGGUCUGGACAAGCGAGGAAGUUUCUUUAAGGGCCGCACCAGUGGCAUAUGGAUGUUGCUAUUCUAGGGGGUAGAAUCGGAGCUACGGAUCAGCCUCUACCACAGCUCACAGCAACGCCAGAUCGCCAACCCACUGAUUGAGGCUGGGGAUCGAACCCGUGUCCUCAUGGAUGCUAGUCGGAUUUGUUUCUCCUGUGCCCCAACUGGAACUCCUGUGCCCCCGAUUUGAACGAGUGAACAAGACAAUACAAAGAGCAUAGAAAUGGCUGCACUCUGGGCCUGGCUCCAUGUCCCAUCUGGGAAAAAGGUGUAACAUCCCCUUCCUGGUGGACGUCGGAGUUCAGACGUGGUACCUGGUGAUUUCACCCGCUCAGUCUCUGUAAGCCUUGGUAUUCCUGCCACUGUCUGAUAAGAUGUUCUGGUUUUUUUCUGUCUGCUUUCCCACUCCACGCCCAUGUUUUCUUUGCUCUCUCAAAAGCGGCUGCGUGCAGACACUGCGGAGGUCCUCAGAGCCAGGAACGACUCACGUGCCCAGAAGCCACACUGCCCACCAAACUGCCGACACCUGCCCACAGGUGCCUGGACAUUCUUUGAGCUAAGAUUCAGAGAUGUGGGCUCCUCUCCUCUCCAGGGAAAGUUGGGGGGAAGCGAACUCAAACUCUGUUGUUGGUCUACACUGCCUUUCGCCAGAGGAGCAGAAGAACAAACAGAAGCCACAUGUCCUGUGCCAAAUGCCUGGCCUGUUGACAGAUCUGCUGUCUUGGUGCCACUUCAUAGGCACAGCCCGCCUUCCUCCUUAUGUAGCCACUUCUUAAAAUGUAUGCUUAAUUUCACAAAUCCUCUUCCAGGCCUGUUCCGAGCACUUUAAAUCCAUUGAUUCGGUUAAGCCUCCCACUGUCAUUCUGCCCAUCUUACAAGGGAGGAAACCAGGACUUGGAGGGGGUUAGGAAACUUGCCCACAGUCGUACCAUUUGUCAGUUCUAUGGUGGUUCCGUGGUGAUUGUACUUCAACUUUGAGGAAAUUUCAUAGAGAUGGGACCUAGCACCUGCAGGGCCUUAAAUCAUCGGCCUCAGGGAAUUCCCAUUAUGAUUCAGUGUUAACAAACCCGACGAGUAUCCAUGAGGAUGCAGGUUCAACCCCUGGCCUCGCUUGGUGGGUUACGGAUCCGGCGUUGCUGUGAGCUGUGGCAUAGGUCACAGAUGUGGCUUGGAUCCUGCAUUGCUGUGGUUGUGGUGUAGGCCAGCAGCUAUAGCUCCAAUUAGACCCCCCUAGCCUGGGAACUUCCAUAUGCCGUGGGUGUGGCCC